GUGCCAGCAGCCGCGGUCAUACCGGCAGCCCGAGUGAUGGCCACUCUUAUUGGGCCUAAAGCGUCCGUAGCUGGCCGCGCAAGUCCGUCGGGAAAUCCAUCAGCCCAACUGAUGGGCGUCCGGCGGAAACUGCACGGCUUGGGACCGGAAGGCUCGAGAGGUACGUCCGGGGUAGGAGUGAAAUCCCGUAAUCCCGAACGGACCACCGAUGGCGAAAGCACUUCGAGAAAACGGAUCCGACAGUGAGGGACGAAAGCCAGGGUCUCCAACCGGAUUAGAAACCCGUGUAGUCC
RNAcentral lists this ribosomal RNA (293 nucleotides) under uncultured bacterium. Its description in RNAcentral is "partial 16S ribosomal RNA". It matches the Rfam family "Archaeal small subunit ribosomal RNA", at positions 455 to 747 of the family's 1478-position model. The record is from RNAcentral.